This 679-nucleotide long non-coding RNA is filed under the name Bos grunniens (domestic yak). RNAcentral's name for it is "lncRNA (ENSBGRG00000025673.1)". Lineage: Eukaryota; Metazoa; Chordata; Mammalia; Artiodactyla; Bovidae. The record is from RNAcentral.
GUAAAAGGGUUGAACCAGCUGCCCUUUGACCCUGCCAACAACAACGAGCCCCUGCAGUUUGGUAGUGCCAGUGGCCCUCUGGUCACAGAAGGCCUCAUUGAGAAUGGAGGGGAGUCAAGCAAGAAAGAAAGAGAACAAAUGCUCCUUCAGAAUGUUCCAUUGAAUAUUUUUGGACCAAAUUUGACCCUGGGUAACUGAAACCGCAGAGAGCAAAACCAUGGAUACUAUAUUUUAUGAUAAAGAAUGUCUAACAUCUUAUGUCAAGAACUGAAGUAACGGUGAAGCAGUAUACCAGAAGGUGACAAAGUAAUUGUGUAUAUGUUGACCAUUCUAGGUAUUUCAACACAGAAAGAAGUAACCACCUAAUUUGUAGUUUUCUUUUUCUCUGCUCCAUUUCCUGAUAUCCAUUUUACUACCUAUUGAAAUAAAAGUCCAUGAUGAUGAAAUUUCCUCAAAAGGAUUGGGAGACAGUCUUGAUUUUGUUUUCCUAUCUCAAUUUCCUUGAUAAUAGGAGCUAUUUAGUUUAAACCAUGCAGGCUGUGGUAUUUCCAUUGAGCAAUUGCUUGUGUAAUAGAAUUAACUUUAAAAUAUUUUGCUUCUCCUACAUUUGAAUUUUAAGCAAAAGCAGCUUUCAUGUGUAAGCUGUUUUAUGGGAUGUGGUAAGUGAGGGUUGAGAAGA